Molecule: ribosomal RNA, 2894 nt
Filed under: Salmonella enterica subsp. enterica
Lineage: Bacteria; Pseudomonadati; Pseudomonadota; Gammaproteobacteria; Enterobacterales; Enterobacteriaceae
Description: 23S ribosomal RNA
Rfam family: Bacterial large subunit ribosomal RNA
Source: RNAcentral
GGUUAACGACUAAGCGUGCACGGUGGAUACUUUGGCAGUCAGAGGGCGAUGAAGGGCGUGCUAAUCUGCGAUAGCGGGUGAUAUGAACCGUUAUAACCGGCGAUACCCGAAUGGGAAACCCAGUGUGACUCGUCACACUAUCAUUAACUGAAUCCAUAUAGGUUAAUGAGGCGAACCGGGGGAACUGAAACAUCUAAGUACCCGAGGAAAGAAAUCAACCGAGAUUCCCCAGUAGCGGCGAGCGAACGGGAGGAGCCCAGAGCCUGAAUCAGCAUGUGUGUGUUGGUGGGAAGCGUCUGGAAAGGCGCGAUACAGGGUGACAGCCCGUACACAAAAGCGCAUGUGCUGUGAGGCUCCGAUAGUGGGGCCGGGACACGUGUUAUCCUGAUACGAAUAUGGGAGGGACAAAUCCUCCAGGCUAAAUACUCUGACUGACCGAUGGUGAACCAGUACCGUGAGGGAAGGCGAAAGAACCCCGGCGAGGGGUGAAAAAGAACCUGAAACCGUGUACGUACAAGCAGUGGGAGCACAAGGUUUACCUGUGUGACUGCAUUUGCACCUUUUGUAUAUGGGUUCAGCGACAUAUUCUGUAGCAAAAGGUUAACCGUAUAGGGGGCCGGAGAAACGAGGACUUAACCGGAGCGUUAAGUUGCAGGGUAUAAGGCCGAAACCCGGUGAUCUAGCCAUGAGUUGAAGGUUGGGUAACACUAACUGGAGGACUGAGCCAGCUGUGUUGAAAAGAAGUAGCGGAUGACCUUACUGUGGCUGGGGUGAAAAGGCCAAUCAAACCAGAGAUAGCUGGUUCUCCCCGAAAGCUAUUUAGGUAGCGCCUCGUGAAUUCAUCUCCGGGGUAGAGCACUGUUUCAGCUAGGGGCCAUCAGCUUACCAACCCGAUGCAAACUGCGAAUACCAAGAAUGUUAUCACGGGAGACACACGGCAGGUGCUAACGUCCGUCGUGAAGAGGGAAGCACAACCCAGACCGCCAGCUAAGGUCCCCAAAGUCAUGGUUAAGUGGGAAACGUGUGGGGAAGGCCCAGACAGCGGGAUGUUGGCUUAGAAGCAGCCAUCAUUUUAAAAGCGUAAUAGCUCACUGGUCGAGUCGGCCUGCGCCCGGAAGGCAACGGGGCUAAACCAUGCACCAGAAGCUGCGGCAGCGGCACGCUGAUGCACGUUGUUGGGUAGAGGGCGUUCUGUAAGCCUGUGAAGGUGUGUCGUGGGCAUACUGGAGGUAUCCAGAAGUACGAAUGCUGACAUAAAAUAACGAUAAAGCGGGUGAAAAGCCCGCCUGCCGGAAAGACCAAGGGUUCCUGUCCAACGUUAAUGGGGCAGUGAGUCGACCUUUGCUAGGCGAGGCCGAAAGGCGUAGUCGAUGGGAACGGUUAAUAUUCCCGUACUUGCGCUUCGCGAAGGGGACGGAGAAGCUAUGUUGGCCGGGCGACGGUUGUCCCGGUUUAAGCGCGUAGGUGUGUGUUCCGUGCAAAUCCGGUUCACUCUUAACACUGAGGCGCGUGACGACGAGGGCACCACGGUGCUGAGCAAACAAAUGCCCUGCUUCCAGAAAAGCCUUCUAAGCAUCAGGUAACAUCAAAUCAAAAUUCCCCAAACCGGCACAGGUGUAUCAGGUAGAGAAUACCAAGGCGCUUGAGAGAACUCGGGUGUAAGGAACUAGGCAAAAUGGUGCCGCAACUUCGGGAGAAGGCACAAGACACGUAGGUGAAGUGAUUUACUCACGGAGCUGAAGUCAGUCGAAGAUACCAGCUGGCCGCAACUGUUAUUAAAAACACAGCACUGUGCAAAACACGAAAGUGGACGUAUACGGUGUGACGCCCGCCCGGUGCCGGAAGUUGCCAAUUGAUGUAAGUCAGCGCAAGCGAAGCUCCCGAUCGAGCCCCGGUAAAACGGCGGCCGUAACCAUAACGGUCCUAUAGAAGCGGAAAUUCCUUUCGUCGGUAAGUUCCGACCUGCACGGCGUAAUGAUGGCCGUAAAGCGUCUCCACCCGAGACCAGUGAAAUUGAACUCGCUGUGAAGAUGCAGCGUACCCGCGGCAAGACGGAAAGACCCCGUGAACCUUACUGCGCUUCGACACUGAACAUUGAGCCUUGAUGUGGAUAGGUGGGAGGUUUAAAGUGUGGGACGCCAGUCUGCAUGGGUGGAGCCGACCUUUGAAAUACCACCCUUAAUGCGUUUGAUGUUCUAACGUGACCCGUUUACCCGGGUUGCGGACAGUGUCUGGCGGGUAGUUUGACUGGGGCGGUCUCCUCUAAAGAGUAACGGAGGAGCACGAAGGUUGGCUAAUCCCGUCGGACAUCAGGAGGUUAGUGCAAUGGCAUAAGCCAGCUUGACUGCGAGCGUGACGGCGAGCAGGUGCGAAAGCAGGUCAUAGUGAUCCGGUGGUUCUGAAUGGAAGGCCAUCGCUCAACGGAUAAAAGGUACUCCGGGGAUACAGCUCGAUACACCGCCUAAGAGUUCAUAUCGACGGCGGUGUUUGGCACCUCGAUGUCGGUCAUCACAUCCUGGGCUGAAGUAGGUCCUGCUGGGUAUGGCUGUUCGCCAUUUAAAGUGGGUACGCGAGCUGGGCUUAGAACGUCGUGAGAUUCCGUCCCUAUUCCGCCGGGCGCUGGAGAACUGAGGGGGCUGCCCUGUCGAGAGGACCGGAGUGGACGCAUCACUGGCGUUCGGGUUGUCAUGCCAAUGGCACUGCCCGGUAGCUAAAUCGCGGAAGAGAUAAGUGCUGAAAGCAUCUAAGCACGAACUUGCCCCGAGAUGAGUUCUCCUGAGACUUAGAGUCUCCCGAAGGAACGUUGGCGACGACGUCGACGUUGAUAGGCCGGGUGUGUAAGCGCAGCGAUGCGUUGAGCUAACUGGUACUAAUGAACCGUGAGGUUUAACCUG